Molecule: non-coding RNA, 1986 nt
Organism: Equus caballus (horse)
Lineage: Eukaryota; Metazoa; Chordata; Mammalia; Perissodactyla; Equidae
Source: RefSeq, a predicted model, not a curated record
CUUAGAGGCACAACACAGACACUGACCAGCAUCAUUUUACACUGACAGAAAAAUUCUGGCUGGGUGAGACUGCGUGGCUUGCCCAAGGUCACACAGCAAGUUGGAGAUGAUUAGAUCUUACAGCCAGGCCUGCUGGUCUUCAGAAUCUGGUGUCCUUCCCAUCCAGCUGAGCACAAAGCCUGCAGCAGUGGCCUCGCUAAGCUGCGCUCACAAGUCUCCAGGGACCUCCACACAGAACUCAUUGGCCUUGGCCCAACUGUCUUAACAUAAAUAACCCCCAGGUUGACGGCACACGUCUUACAGAGCACAUCCGAUGGAGAGCCUAGAAGCAAACUGUCCUUCUGGAAAUUGCAUUAAGGGAGCACAUUAGAAUGAGGGGUUUCCAGAGAGCUCGAAAAAAAGGCCAGGAUAUUUUGGAGUCAAGGUCCCUUGUCCCUCCCCUCGCCACCGUCCCUGCAGGGGAGGGGAAGGUGAGUGUUCAGGACAGCCCAGCUGGAGGGAGGAAGGGGCUGAGUCCACCUGGCAGCCCCUGGAGGGGCUCAGUGUAGGUGCCGUGAGGUGGCAGGAGCCGGGCCACAAAGCGACACCAGUGCCCUCUGCUGAGGACUUCCUGUGGCGGACACUCCUCUGCCCACUUCACACCCUCGAGCUCAUUUAACUCAUUGAUAUCAUCGGUAUCCUCACCUCGCAGGCUUCACACUUUUCCUGGGGCCUCUGGGCAGCCUUCCAGACCCCAUCCCCAGGACUGACUGAGUUCCUGAGAUAGGAAAUGCAACCCGAGACGUGUGAAGAAAAAAACAGUGUGCUUAUUGUCACGGCCUCCACUCCUCGCUGGGCUCCCAGGCCGCCGGCCGGGUGCUCUGGGGUGUCUGCCCCGCCGCAGAGAAGAAUAAACCCAGACUCCAAUCAUAGGAAAUUCAUCAAAUGUGCUUCUCAGAGCUCUGUCUUUCAAGGUCUGCUUUCCUGCCAUAUGAUCUCUAUAAACCGAAUCACUGUGAGCCAGGGCACAGGACCAGAGGCGCCUGAGGCUCGCGGAUAAUGAAUGCCAAAUGCAUGUGACAAUGGACUGAUCAGGGAGCAGAAUGGAAAUGUCUGAGCUGUGCUUUUCUAUAUGUAUAUACACACACAUACAUGCAUACGUGCAUGUAUGCACCAGCGCACACACACACUCACACACACACACGCACAAGUCAAGCACACAGUACGUCUUAACAAAGGCCAACUGUGAUCCUUGCUGCCAGACUCAGUUAACACACUUCUCAGUAACUCUGUUAAAUUAUCAGGACAAAGAAGGAUACAAUGAAAGAGAAAAAAGUAUCAGAUCCCAGUUUAGCUGGGGACACUCGACAUGGAAGGAUCACGGAUUUGACGUAGAAAUUCAGAAUGCCUUUUGCUCAGGGAUGAGCAUGGGAGCCAACACACAGGGGAACCUCAACUGAAAAAUGAAAAUCAACCACUCAUUCUGGGCACCAGUGGUAAACGGGAGGAAUUGCGCUCCAUUGAAUGACUUAUUGUACGAUGACCCGAUAAUGGUUUCUACCCCUCCUGGGUCUGACCAGCCCCUUCACUCGAUAACCAGUUACCCGUGUGGCCAGGUAAGAGAAGAGAACACAAGACAGAAAAUAGCAGGCCACCAACUAAAGGCAAAAAGGUAAUUAAUGUUACAGCCUUUUAGAUUCUAGAAAAUACUGCACUUAAAACUGCAAGUCAACUCAGCGGCUGUCUGCAACCGAUAAAUGCUUCCAUAUUCACAGGCAUCAGCAAUCUUCCUCUUACAAAAAAAGUAAUAAUACAUACAUAUUAAUGGAUCACAUUUUGUCCUUUGGGGAGCAUAAUUUUUAAAAGGGCCAAGGCAGCAAUAAUAGUUCCUUUAAAAAUUCUAAAUGCUGUAAUUGUUUUCUCUGAAUUAUGGUGCUAGGAUUUAAUUAGUGAUGAAUGUUCGGUAUGGGGUUUGGUCAUUUUUGAUGAAUUCAGCCAAACAGAAAA